This 406-nucleotide ribosomal RNA is filed under the name uncultured bacterium. RNAcentral describes it as "partial 16S ribosomal RNA". It matches the Rfam family "Bacterial small subunit ribosomal RNA", at positions 30 to 526 of the family's 1533-position model. The record is from RNAcentral.
AUUGAACGCUGGCGGCAGGCUUAACACAUGCAAGUCGAGCGAGCGGCGGACGGGUGAGUAAUGUCUGGGAAACUGCCUGAUGGAGGGGGAUAACUACUGGAACCGGUAGCUAAUACCGCAUACCAUCAGAUGUGCCCAGAUGGGAUGAGCUAGUAGGUGGGGUGAGGGCUCACCUAGGCGACGAUCCCUAGCUGGUCUGAGAGGAUGACGAGCCAUACUGGAGCUGGUGCACGGUUCAGAAUCAUGAGGGAGGCAGCAGUGGCGAAUAUUGCACAAUGGGCGCAAGCCUGAUGCAGACAUGCCGCGUGUGUGAAGAAGGCCUUCGGGUUGGAAAGCACUUUCAGCGAGGAGGCGGUACUCGCAGCUGAAGCACCGGCUAACUCCGUGCCAGCAGCCGCGGUAAUUC